ACUCCUGACCCUACCGUGUGUCCAUCUGUCCUGUCUCUAUACCCCUGCCCCUUGCCUUUCUUUUUUUGCACACACAUCUUGAUUACUGAACAUUUGAUGUUCCCCCCCCUGUCUGACCCCAGACCUUCCCCGCAUGCUAAGCUAGUCUCUGUGUUCCCUGUAGCUCAGGCGCUAACGUGAAUGUAAUGUAGACCACUGCAGUCUGCCACUGCCAUCCAUCCCCGGCGACUUUAUCUUAUUCCACGCUGUCUGUCUGCAUGAGGAGCUCUGUGUGUCACCCACCGUUCAGCCUGGUGCUGCCAUGCUGCCGCAGUGAAGCCCUGCAGUUCCUUGUUUUCAACUUCUGGAAACUUCUGGAAUAUGUCACUGACUGACCAGUAUCAUCACAACAGAGAAGCCUUCUUUUGAAAAGCCAAAAACGAAUGAAAACAAGCUACAUCAUCUUCCUGCUCUCUUUUCAAGUGGAGAGGACGCCCCCGGCUUCCUAAAAGGCAGACAAUGAGGACUAUAUUUGCAGCACAGCAAUAAAACUUAAAGUUUCCAAAACAACACACAAUGAAGGGAUGAGAGGACAGUGAAAUCAUGAAUGCUCUCAAAGAUGAACCCCCUAAAAGCGGCCCGAAGGAGACAAUGUCACAAAAUGGCUGCCUGUUUCAAUUCCUUGAAUGCUUCUCUAUGACUUUGGUGCCGAUAGCGUCAAGAUAAAAUAACUGAACUGCCAGACGAACAUUCAAAUGUCCAAUGAAAGAUGGCCAUUUGAAUGUGGACAUGACUACAGACAACAAAUGUUUACAUCUAAGAUGCUAAUAAGCUAAUCGCUUUAGCUCUCAAGCCACAGGCUGCGAAGUGGGAGAGAGCACAAGGAUCCUAUCCAAAUGUUGUUUUGGUGCCGCAGAUAGUUUGACAAUUCCUGUGUACUUUUCUGUAAUUCUGGAUUUACACUGUUUUAAUGUUCAGACUGCAUGUUCCCACAAUUUUAAUAAAGUAGAAAGUUUCAUGUUAAAUCAUGACUCAAUAUUCUUGCAUUAGCCACUAUUUCAUUCGUACUUUCUUGUGUUUUCUCUUUUGUGUUUUUAGGGAAGGAUGUAGAAAAUAUUUUAGAAUGUCAAAAAAUGUAUGAUUGGUGCCAUUUAAAGGCUGUAUUUUUUGCAAAGUUUAUGUUUGACACAUUCUUGAGGAAGGAAAGUGGCUUUAAAAUUGAGGACAAUUUUUAAUGGGGACAAUGAUUGCUCAUGUAAUUACUGCAUUACAGUAAUGAAAUUAUGUCACUUAAUACUGCAAUGUCAUUCCAUGCUGUAGUAUGGAAUUACAUACUGCAAUUUAAAUUGCAGUAUACAUGGUCUCAACAUUUAUAAAUAGUCUAUUUGCUGGUUGAUAGAAUUUUCUUCUGAAUUGUUAUGAUGUUUUGUGCUUUGACGGUGUUGCUUUGAUGUUCUUUAUUAUUACCAUUUGCGUUGAUAAUAAAGUUGGGGGAAAAAAAAGUAUGUAAUCUCAGAAAGUGGGUUCAGAGGCUGUGGGGCUUAGAAACUAAACAUUCAAAAGCAAAGACUACAGAAAAUUAGGUAAUACAAUAACUUUAUUAAGAAAUUCUGUUCUUAUGACAAAAACCGGUCUAAAACAUGGAAAUAACUGACAAAAAAAAUCAAGAAACCAAUCCAAGCUCAUUGUAAGUAUUUACACUGUACAGGAAUCCUUAAAAUAUAAGACGAUGCGCAUCCUUUUAAAUUAAGAUCUAGUUAAGGGCUUUUUUGGAAAGGGUGAUCAAGGCACUUGCUUCUCCUUUGGUCUUUUGCUAUGUACAAUACUGUGCAUCAAUUCAGUGUGAAAUCACGAAGAGAGAGGUCAUUUUCAUUCAGGUACAAAUACCUUCAUGCAAGGGAACUUCCAUGUCAGGACACCUAUAUUAAGUGAGAAAUACACCACGUCUUUUCAUCAAUGUUCUCUUUCAAGAAUUAAAAAUAAUAAUAAUUAACUAAGACAAAACUGAAGAAUCAAUGACAACCAUUUGAAAAUUAUAGUGAUAAAUCUGUCAAUAGAAUUCAAACUGAAGGGAUUACAAUGAAAUAUGAGUUGAUAUGGACACUGCUAUACUGUUAUAUUGCUAGCAAAGACAGCUAUCGAUCUCCUGUACACACAGGACCUAGCAAGUAAAUAAAGAAAUAAAUCAAACAAAUACCAAAACAACCAACAAUAAAAAAUAAUAAUAAUUUAAAGCACCACCAAAUUUGUGUAAGACAUUGUGCUUACACAACACAUGCACUAAAAUGUGGAAUUUCAACACGGAUUAGUUAAUAAAUAAGACCAUAUCAUUGGGU
Molecule: long non-coding RNA, 2315 nt
Organism: Gadus morhua (Atlantic cod)
Lineage: Eukaryota; Metazoa; Chordata; Actinopteri; Gadiformes; Gadidae
Exons: 2
Source: RefSeq, a predicted model, not a curated record